RNAcentral lists this ribosomal RNA (460 nucleotides) under uncultured bacterium. Its description in RNAcentral is "partial 16S ribosomal RNA". It matches the Rfam family "Bacterial small subunit ribosomal RNA", at positions 338 to 795 of the family's 1533-position model. The record is from RNAcentral.
CCUACGGGAGGCAGCAGUGAGGAAUAUUGGUCAAUGGACGAGAGUCUGAACCAGCCAAGUAGCGUGAAGGAUGACUGCCCUAUGGGUUGUAAACUUCUUUUAUAUGGGAAUAAAACGUUCCACGUGUGGGAUUUUGUAUGUACCAUAUGAAUAAGGAUCGGCUAACUCCGUGCCAGCAGCCGCGGUAAUACGGAGGAUCCGAGCGUUAUCCGGAUUUAUUGGGUUUAAAGGGAGCGUAGGUGGAUUGUUAAGUCAGUUGUGAAAGUUUGCGGCUCAACCGUAAAAUUGCAGUUGAAACUGGCAGUCUUGAGUACAGUAGAGGUGGGCGGAAUGCGUGGUGUAGCGGUGAAAUGCUUAGAUAUCACGAAGAACUCCGAUUGCGAAGGCAGUUCACUGGACUGAAACUGACACUGAGGCUCGAAGGUGUGGGUAUCAAACAGGAUUAGAUACCCCUGUAGUC